AGCUCUAGCGUGACAGUUUGGUCCCUUUUUGCACCCUGGGUUUAUGGGUUUUCUAUCAAGACUUAAUGGCGACUUCAGUCAUCCUGCUCUUGAUGGCCUUCUUCAGAGAGGCGAUGGACUCCCUGUUCAUCUUAACUGAUGUCACUGCAACCCAGGCAGAUGUGGAGGCACAGCAGGUCAUACCAGAUACCAGAGACACCCAGACUCAUUAUGCUCGGUAAGUUUGUAC
Triplophysa rosa is the source of this 229-nucleotide long non-coding RNA. RefSeq lists it as uncharacterized. Lineage: Eukaryota; Metazoa; Chordata; Actinopteri; Cypriniformes; Nemacheilidae. The transcript has 3 exons. The record is from RefSeq and is a predicted model, not a curated record.